This 434-nucleotide unclassified non-coding RNA is filed under the name Hevea brasiliensis (rubber tree). Lineage: Eukaryota; Viridiplantae; Streptophyta; Magnoliopsida; Malpighiales; Euphorbiaceae. The record is from RNAcentral.
AAAGCUCCAAGCUGUACCUAAAUUUAUAUGUGAGCAUAGGAAUGAACUAGGUGUAGGUUAACACCAGCUGUCAUCUUGGUAGAUAUUUGACAAGAGAUAGUGUGCCCUAGCUGACGAUUUUCAAUAAAUGGGCUUCACCGGAAAUAAAUCAUUACUACCUCUACCACAAAUUGAAUCUCUCCUUGUUGAAUUGGCGUGACUCAAAUAAGAUUCAGAAGAUUUUAUUUAAGAUUUUGACACUAGCUAGAAGGCUGGGGGAUAAGCAACCUUUGAAGUCCUUCUUACUAGAACUUUGCCCACAAUAGAACUUUUACACUAUAAAGGUAAUUUUUAAAAAAUGGCCAAAUUUUCAUGUACAGCAGGGAUUAGGCAGACUACUAAAUCCUUGAAGUUGAUAAUGGUGAUCGUCAGUAAAAAGGUAGCACAAGGUUUUG